This 503-nucleotide ribosomal RNA is filed under the name uncultured bacterium. RNAcentral's name for it is "partial 16S ribosomal RNA". It matches the Rfam family "Bacterial small subunit ribosomal RNA", at positions 28 to 523 of the family's 1533-position model. The record is from RNAcentral.
GAUAAACGCUAGCGGCAGGCUUAACACAUGCAAGUCGAGGGGCAGCAUAGAUUGUAGCAAUACAAUUGGUGGCGACCGGCGCACGGGUGCGUAACGCGUAUGCAACCUACCCGUCACAGGGGGAUAAUCCGGAGAAAUCUGGUCUAAUACCCCAUAACAUAUGGAUCGGCAUCGGUUCAUGUUGAAAUUUUCGGAGGUGACGGAUGGGCAUGCGUAGCAUUAGCUUGUUGGUGAGGUAACGGCUCACCAAGGCGACGAUGCUUAGGGGGACUAGGAGGUUUUCCCCCCACACUGGUACUGAGACACGGACCAGACUCCUAUGGGAGGCAGCAGUGAGGAAUAUUGGUCAAUGGGCGCAAGCCUGAACCAGCCAUGCCGCGUGCAGGAUGACGGCUCUAUGAGUUGUAAACUGCUUUUGUACGAGGGUAAAGUGGGUUACGUGUAACCUUUUGAAAGUAUCGUACGAAUAAGGAUCGGCUAACUCCGUGCAGCAGCCGCCGUAA